RNAcentral lists this non-coding RNA (29 nucleotides) under Rattus norvegicus (Norway rat). Lineage: Eukaryota; Metazoa; Chordata; Mammalia; Rodentia; Muridae. The record is from RNAcentral.
UUUCAAGAUCAAAGUCUUUUUCAAACCCA